Molecule: unclassified non-coding RNA, 335 nt
Filed under: uncultured Diversispora
Lineage: Eukaryota; Fungi; Glomeromycota; Glomeromycetes; Diversisporales; Diversisporaceae
Description: SSU rRNA
Rfam family: Eukaryotic small subunit ribosomal RNA
Source: RNAcentral
AGCAGCCGCGGUAAUUCUAGCUCCAAUAGCGUAUAUUAAAGUUGCUGCAGUUAAAAGCUCGUAGUUGAAUUUCGGGACUAAUAUGUCGGUCGUGCCUCGGUACGUACUGGCUUAUUGGUUUCUCCUUUCUGAAGAACCAUGAUGUCAUUUAUUUGGUGUUAUGGGGAGUUAGGACUGUUACUUUGAAAAAUUAGAGUGUUUAAAGCAGGCUUUAGCUUGAAUACAUUAGCAUGGAAUAAUGAAAUGGACGUUCGAACCUAUUUUGUUGGUUUCUAGGAUUCAACGUAAUGAUUAANAGGGAUAGUUGGGGGCAUUAGUAUUCAAUUGUCAGAGGU